CGAAGGAUGCAAGCGUUAUCCGGAUUCAUUGGGUUUAAAGGGAGCGUAGGUGGACUGAUAAGUCAGUGGUGAAAUCUUCGAGCUUAACUCGGAAAUUGCCAUUGAUACUGUUGGUCUUGAGUACAGUUGCUGUGGGCGGAAUAUGACAUGUAGUGGUGAAAUACAUAGAGAUGUCAUAGAACACCGAUUGCGAAGGCAGCUCACAAAGCUGUAACUGACACUGAGGCUCGAAAGUGCGGGGAUCAAACAGGAUUAGAUACCCUGGUAGUCCGCACUGUAAACGAUGAUUACUCGCUGCUAGAUGGCAACAUUUAGUGGCUUAGCGAAAGCGAUAAGUAAUCCACCUGGGGAGUACGCCGGCAACGGUG
This 368-nucleotide ribosomal RNA is filed under the name uncultured organism. RNAcentral describes it as "bacterial SSU rRNA". It matches the Rfam family "Bacterial small subunit ribosomal RNA", at positions 526 to 896 of the family's 1533-position model. The record is from RNAcentral.